UCGAUCAAUCUAGGAACUCCACGAACUGAGUACUUUAUUCCUCCAAUCUCUACGACCGAUCUCGGCGGCCUCCUCACCCUCCUCGGCCGGCCAGGCGCGUGCAGAGGCAGCAUCAGCCUGCCAUUGAUGGCUCCUCUUCUCUUCCCAAGCAGUGGAGCCAUCAACCGCUGCGCCUUUCUCUCACUCCCGAGUCGGCAGCCGGCACAGAGGAGUUCAACCGCCCCCAUCUCCUAUCCAAGGCGGCUAAUGGUGCGGAGGGCAUCGGCGCCCUCCUCUCCCUCCAGAGGCAGCGCAACCAUGGGAAGAGCUCCACGCCCCCUUCUCCUUCCUAGGUACCCAGUCCCUACUUCUUCCCAAGGCGACUAACGGCCUGGAGGAGGACAUAGGCACCUCCUCUUCCUUCGGAGGCACCUUCGCUAUCGGAGGAUCAGACGCGGCUGAUGCUCACUUCGAGAUACAUCUACGGCCAGGUGCACCACCUACCAUGGCAUGAGCCCUCUAUUUUUCUCUACAUAGUCUAUGGCAUUUUGAAUCUGCACAAGAUGGUAUGAAUACUCUUUGUUUCUUGCCAAAAUAUAAAGUAUUCGUGCAUUUUCUUCUUUGUUUGCAUGAAGGAGCGAUUAUGACCGCUUAAAGUUCUUGCAUUAAUCUGACCAACCAAUUGCUGCAGAUACAAUAAGGAAUAUCCUUGGCUGCUCCUUCUGUAUUUCCAAAAGGAUGGGCGUGCAAGCAUGGUCGAAGGCUAUAGUUUUUUCGAUCAAAUUAUGUGUCACGCCUACGGAAGUCCUUGCUGAUGGUUCCAGUAAUGAAUUUUUAUUCUGUAGCAGUUAUGCGUUCUUGCAUACACUCCAAGAAUCACAUGUAAUUUCCUUCAGAUAUUUUUAUUAUAGACAUAGUACGAUGAGUAUUUUUUUUGUAUAACCGCUGCGCCUUUCUCUCACUCCCGAGUCGGCAGCCGGCACAGAGGAGUUCAACCGCCCCCAUCUCCUAUCCAAGGCGGCUAAUGGUGCGGAGGGCAUCGGCGCCCUCCUCUCCCUCCAGAGGCAGCGCAGCCAUGGGAAGAGCUCCACGCCCCCUUCUCCUUCCUAGGUACCCAGGCCCUACUUCUUCCCAAGGCGACUAACGGCCUGGAGGAUGACAUAGGCACCUCCUCUUCCUUCGGAGACACCUUCGCUAUCGGAGGAUCAGACGCGGCUGAUGCUCACUUCGAGAUACAUCUACGGCCAGGUGCACCACCUACCAUGGCAUGAGCCCUCUAUUUUUCUCUACAUAGUCUAUGGCAUUUUGAAUCUGCACAAGAUGGUAUGAAUACUCUUUGUUUCUUGCCAAAAUAUAAAGUAUCGUGCAUUUUCUUCUUUGUUUGCAUGAAGGAGCGAUUAUGACCGCUUAAAGUUCUUGCAUUAAUCUGACCAACCAAUUGCUGCAGAUACAAUAAGGAAUAUCCUUGGCUGCUCCUUCUGUAUUUCCAAAAGGAUGGGCGUGCAAGCAUGGUCGAAGGCUAUAGUUUUUUCCGAUCAAAUUAUGUGUCACGCCUACGGAAGUCCUUGCUGAUGGUUCCAGUAAUGAAUUUUUAUUCUGUAGCAGUUAGGCGUUCUUGCAUACACUCCAAGAAUCACAUGUAAUUUCCUUCAGAUAUAAUUUUUUAUAGACAUAGUACUAUGAGUAUUAUUUUUUUGUAUCGAGGAGCUUCCCUGUGAAACCAAAUCAUCAAUUUUUUGUUGAAGGCACAUAGUUUCUGCUUUCUAUUAUUGAUUAUCCAUGUAUAUUUUCUAUUAAAUAUCGGUUGACUCGCAUAUAGAUUCUACUUGCGCAUGCUUCUGAUCAAGUUCGUAUAUUUCUCUGCUUUUGCAGGCGUCUCUACAAAUACGCAGAGGUCUAAGAUGUACAGUGACCUUUCAAUCUGCAAUUUAAUUUACUGGUUAGAUGUUUUUUCAAUUGACACUACACAGCUACGAGGUUUGCAGAUGUAUAUAUCCACUUGGCUUUACAUAUCAGAUAGUGUUGGCGGUGAGAGAGAUUGGCUUCAUUUUUUGUUGUAAUAAUUGUCACAUUUGGGAAUUUUUAUAGGUAUUGCAAAUUGUUCUACCGUGGCCCUCAUUACCUAUGUUUCUACCUUAUUGGAAUUCUGCAUUUGCUUCAUGUAGUUUGGCCGCUGGUGAAGAUGUGCUUCACGAGUAGCCUACUUAUUUUAUCAUUUAUUUGAGCCUCAAUUGUCCUCAUGCAUGGUUGUCAUUCAUAGUAUAAAUGCAAGUCUCCAUGACAACACUUCAGUGUGAGAGUGGCAAAUCUAGCAACUCCCUUAACUACAUCGGUAAAUACUUAUCUUGGACUACAUACAUCCUUCCAAUGUUGAUAAUGUUGUUCCUUCUUUUUAUGCUGAUAUGGCGUGUCUUGACUCUUGACUCAUGUACUCUUGAUGUGGGCCUAGGCCAAAUUCUCUUGCACAACCGAAAAAGUUUACAUGGACAAAUAUGCUUCAUUUGGAGUAUAUGUGUUUGGCUGAACUAUGUAGAAGCCAUGCUAAUCUGCACUGGUACAUACACGUUUCAAAUAGCCAUGCUAAUCUGCACACAUUUGAAAUAUGCCGAUCAAGUCAUAAUUUAGGUUGAUAUGUUCUUAUACUUUUCUUAUCACUGUCAAAUAACAUAUGUCAUGUUUUCAACCUUUGAGUGAUAUUCUGUCAAAUAACAUAUGUCAUGCUUUCUACCUUUAAAUGAUAUUCUGAUAUUAAAACAUCGAUUGGCCUCCAGUGAAGGUGGCAAACUAUUGCAUAUUUAGCAACAGGUUUUCCAAUACAUUAGAUGUGGAACAAAAUAUUAAUACUUUCGCACUACAAUAUUUUAAUGUAUAACUGAGACACUUUCAGGUUACUAUGCUUUAAUAGAAGGAGGCUGUAAUGUUUGGAGUUUAGAUUAUACUUUGUUUGUUUAACAAGUUUGUGGUAGUUGAACCGCUGCUAUUUCUACAAUUCAAAGGGUGUUUUAUUUGCUAUCUCCUCUCAAAUUUAUGUAAUGUGUUUUGUCGGUUGCUUCAUUUCAUUCUUAACCAAUUAUGUGCUGUUUAUAAUUGUUAUAUUUAACUUUACUUCGCUGAAGAGCUGCCCUAUGAACACAGCUUCUAUUUCUCAGCCUUUAAGUCUAUUAUAUACAGAGCCCCUUAUUUUUCUCUCGAAUGGCAUUGACUACUUAUUCUUUUUAUUUUUAUCGUACUAUCAUCACCAUAAGAACUAGGUAUGCAAAGUUAUACCUCUAUAAUUACUUAGCUUUGCGGUUGCAUAUCAACUCAGCAUCUUUGUUUGUUGAAAUUCCCACUUGCAAAACUACAAGUGUUGUCACCACAUAGCGCUAUCCUUUCUACUACAUCGGGUCUAGGAAAUAAGCCUACCGCCUACCCAAUUACAUCAGGCAUGUUGGAUAUAUUAAUAUAUUCCACCUUGAGCUAUUUCAGUUUUGUGCAUACAUCAGACCAAGUGGCCUUUCACGUUGCGGCGUCGUCAGUAUCCAGUUAGGAUGUGCUAUGCAAUGACUAUCAACAAAAGCCAAGGUCAGACACUUAAGCAGGUUGGGGUUUACUUGCCGAAACCGGUGGUUUUGCAUGGGCAGUUUUAUGUUACGAUCUCAAGGGUAACAUCAAGGGAAAGGCCAGGUGCUGACGCUUGACGAAUCUGGCAAGGCGACUACCCAGACAAGAAACAUAGUGUAGUGGGAGGUCCUUGGCCAUCUAUAAGUGUUCCUUCUUACAUGGUAUCAUUUCUUAGCAGGAUCACUAGAUUUUCUCUUCCUUUAGGUCCUCUGCUAUGUGGUGCGGAUUUAGAAACAGACAGCCAUCGAUUUUGCUCCAGAUGCCGCCGCUCUCCCAUUGUUUUUUUUUGAUGGUCCGCUCUCCCAUUGUUGAUAGAACAUGUGUCAGGUUUAUCAGCGCGCAUAACCAUUUAGCGUAAAUACACUAAAGCUAAUGAAGGUGUUUUGUGAGUUUACAUGUCGCGUACAACAGCCUGAAAUCUCAAGCCAUGUACACACUUCAGCGGCAUGACAAUGUCAUCUGGCCAGAGCUCAGUUUUUCUUUAUCAGUUUCAGUUGCCUUUACCCACUAUGUACACUAUACUAAAUGUUUUACUGCGUGUCUGACAUAAGGAGAUGUAUAUGAAUUUAGCUUUCGUGCUCCAUGUUCUUAUGCUGGCAUCCUACUCUAAG
Long non-coding RNA from Lolium perenne, 4193 nucleotides. RefSeq lists it as uncharacterized. NCBI's taxonomy places the organism in Eukaryota, Viridiplantae, Streptophyta, Magnoliopsida, Poales, Poaceae. The record is from RefSeq and is a predicted model, not a curated record.